RNAcentral lists this ribosomal RNA (234 nucleotides) under uncultured bacterium. Its description in RNAcentral is "partial 16S ribosomal RNA". It matches the Rfam family "Bacterial small subunit ribosomal RNA", at positions 255 to 504 of the family's 1533-position model. The record is from RNAcentral.
GGGUAACGGCCUACCAAGUCGACGAUCAGUAGCCGGACUGAGAGGUUGAACGGCCACAUUGGGACUGAGACACGGCCCAGACUCCUACGGGAGGCAGCAGUGGGGGAUAUUGCGCAAUGGGGGAAACCCUGACGCAGCAACGCCGCGUGAAGGACGAAGGUUUUCGGAUUGUAAACUUCUUUUGUCAGGGACGAAGAAAUGACGGUACCUGACGAAUAAGCUCCGGCUAACUAC